Molecule: ribosomal RNA, 497 nt
Filed under: uncultured bacterium
Lineage: Bacteria
Description: partial 16S ribosomal RNA
Rfam family: Bacterial small subunit ribosomal RNA
Source: RNAcentral
GACGAACGCUGGCGGCGUGCCUAAUACAUGCAAGUUGAGCGAUGAAGAUUGGUGCUUGCACCAAUUUGAAGAGCAGCGAACGGGUGAGUAACGCGUGGGGAAUCUGCCUUUGAGCGGGGGACAACAUUUGGAAACGAAUGCUAAUACCGCAUAACAACUUUAAACAUAAGUUUUAAGUUUGAAAGAUGCAAUUGCAUCACUCAAAGAUGAUCCCGCGUUGUAUUAGCUAGUUGGUGAGGUAAAGGCUCACCAAGGCGAUGAUACAUAGCCGACCUGAGAGGGUGCUCGGCCACAUUGAGACUGAGACACGGCCCAAACUCCUACGGGUGGCGGCAGUAGGGAUUCGUCGGCAAUGGACGAAAGUCUGACCGAGCAACGCCGCGUGAGUGAGGAGGGUUUUCGGAUCGUGGAACUCUGUUGGUAGAGAGGAACGUUGGUGAGAGUGGAAAGCUCAUCAAGUGACGGUAACUACCCAGAAAGGGACGGCUAACUACGUG